Oxyura jamaicensis (ruddy duck) is the source of this 478-nucleotide long non-coding RNA. RefSeq lists it as uncharacterized. The transcript has 2 exons. The record is from RefSeq and is a predicted model, not a curated record. Lineage: Eukaryota; Metazoa; Chordata; Aves; Anseriformes; Anatidae.
AGGGACCUGCAUAUGUGCCCCGGGAGCGCAGUGCUCAGCAUGCGUGGCUGGGCAAGGCAAUGCCCCAGCUCCCCCCCAGCAGACUCCGUGCACACAGGUACAAAGGCACCUGCCCACACACGUGAGAAGGGAGGGUAAGGAGUAGGCAGCGCUGCUCUGGUGUGUGAAGGCGGCAGGUAAUUGCCUGUGCCGGAGCAAACAGGUGUGCUCCGUACACCUUGUCCAGGCUGGAUGGGUGCCUACGCCUCCGGCUGCUGGGAUAGCUCGGAGGGCUCAAGGCAUGCAGCAGGAACAGCUGCAGCUUGAGUACGCAGGGAAUUAGUGCGAGCAUUUGCAUGGCUACACACAGAGCAGCAUCCUCUCAACAAGAGACAUCCUCUGGCAAUGGAGAAAAUCCCAAGAGAAAGAAAAACAAAAUGCCCCAAAAUGGGCUUAGCAAAAUGUGAAAUAGAAUCUCACAGGUACGCAGAAGAAGAAG